CAGCCGCCGCGGUAAUACAGAGGGUGCAAGCGUUAAUCGGAAUUACUGGGCGUAAAGCGCGCGUAGGUGGUUUGGUAAGUUAGAGGUGAAAGCCCGGAGCUCAACUCCGGAAUUGCCUUUAAGACUGCCGAGCUAGCAGGUGAGAGAGGUAAGUGGAAUUCCGAGUGUAGAGGUGAAAUUCGUAGAUAUUCGGAAGAACACCAGUGGCGAAGGCGGCUUACUGGCUCAUACUGGACGCUGAGGUGCGAAAGCGUGGGGAGCAAACAGGAUUAGAGACCCCGGUAGUCCCUGUCUCUUAUAC
Molecule: ribosomal RNA, 301 nt
Filed under: uncultured bacterium
Lineage: Bacteria
Description: partial 16S ribosomal RNA
Rfam family: Bacterial small subunit ribosomal RNA
Source: RNAcentral